AACGCACAUUGCGCCCUCUGGUAUUCCGGGGGGCAUGCCUGUUCGAGCGUCAUUACAACCCUCAAGCUCUGCUUGGUAUUGGGCGUCACCGUACCGGUGCGCCUUAAAAUCAGUGGCGGUGCCAUUCGGCUUCAAGCGUAGUAAUUCUUCUCGCUUUGGAGGACCGGGUGAGUGCUCGCCAGCAACCCCAAAUUUUUUUUAAGGUUGACCUCGGAUCAGGUAGGGAUACCCGCUGAACUUAA
Molecule: unclassified non-coding RNA, 242 nt
Filed under: uncultured fungus
Lineage: Eukaryota; Fungi
Description: partial contains 5.8S ribosomal RNA, internal transcribed spacer 2, and large subunit ribosomal RNA
Rfam family: 5.8S ribosomal RNA (bases 1-52)
Source: RNAcentral